AACGAACGCUGGCGGCAGGCUUAACACAUGCAAGUCGAGCGCCCCGCAAGGGGAGCGGCAGACGGGUGAGUAACACGUGGGAAUCUACCCACCCCUACGGAACAACUCCGGGAAACUGGAGCUAAUACCGUAUACGCCCUUUGGGGGAAAGAUUUAUCGGGGAUGGAUGAGCCCGCGUUGGAUUAGCUAGUUGGUGGGGUAAAGGCCUACCAAGGCGACGAUCCAUAGCUGGUCUGAGAGGAUGAUCAGCCACAUUGGGACUGAGUCACGGCCCAAACUCCUACGGGAGGCAGCAGUGGGGAAUAUUGGACAAUGGGCGCAAGCCUGAUCCAGCCAUGCCGCGUGAAUGAUGAAGGCCUUAGGGUUGUAAAGUUCUUUCACCGAUGAAGAUAAUGACGGUAGUCGGAGAAGAAGCCCCGGCUAACUUCGUGCCAGCCGCCGCAGUAA
This 447-nucleotide ribosomal RNA is filed under the name uncultured bacterium. RNAcentral's name for it is "partial 16S ribosomal RNA". It matches the Rfam family "Bacterial small subunit ribosomal RNA", at positions 29 to 523 of the family's 1533-position model. The record is from RNAcentral.